Vollenhovia emeryi is the source of this 646-nucleotide long non-coding RNA. RefSeq lists it as uncharacterized. The transcript is spliced from 7 exons. The record is from RefSeq and is a predicted model, not a curated record. NCBI's taxonomy places the organism in Eukaryota, Metazoa, Arthropoda, Insecta, Hymenoptera, Formicidae.
UGAAAAUCAGCUGAUCAGUGCAACUAGUGGGCAGCUCUGGUUUAUAACAUUACUAUACUUGUGUUAGCAAUGGAGUACGUAGAAUCCAUCGUUGUACAUACAUAGUCCUUAGUUGCGCAGAUACCUGAUGAGCCGCAUAUGAUUCACUAUGGUAUUACUCAGAAUGUAGAUGAAAUCUUGGCACGAAAUCAAAUUAGCUAUACGGCCUUUGAAAGUUUCCAGUUGACCACUGAAGUGAAGGAUUACGAGACCAAGAAAAGCAUCUACUGAGGUGAUCAUCCCAUAUCGUUCCACGUUUCAAAGAUAAGGACCACUAGUAGAGGAGAGAUUAUCGUUGAAUAUUAAUUAAUGAUGUAUCAAUUUCGUAUAUAAACGAAUAUUUACAAAAUUUAAAAUUAUUAAUUGAUCUUACGCUGCAAAAUGUGGUCAUCGUUAGUGGAAAUAUCUUUCCCGCUGUGAUACGAAAAGGUUCGUUGGCAAAUAUCUAAAAAAUGUGGAAGAUACAGAAAAAUAUUUCCAACAAAAGCUGUAGGACAGCAAAGAGGACAGAUAACAUUUGUAUCUAUGACAGUUGGCCACAGAUGUGAAGAAUCGCGAGUCCGAGAAAGGCGUCCACCGAGGAAUAUGUUGUUCCACCUACAAACAU